CUGCAGUCGAGCGAACUGAUUAGAAGCUUGCUUCUAUGACGUUAGCGGCGGACGGGUGAGUAACACGUGGGCAACCUGCCUGUAAGACUGGGAUAACUUCGGGAAACCGAAGCUAAUACCGGAUAGGAUCUUCUCCUUCAUGGGAGAUGAUUGAAAGAUGGUUUCGGCUAUCACUUACAGAUGGGCCCGCGGUGCAUUAGCUAGUUGGUGAGGUAACGGCUCACCAAGGCAACGAUGCAUAGCCGACCUGAGAGGGUGAUCGGCCACACUGGGACUGAGACACGGCCCAGACUCCUACGGGAGGCAGCAGUAGGGAAUCUUCCGCAAUGGACGAAAGUCUGACGGAGCAACGCCGCGUGAGUGAUGAAGGCUUUCGGGUCGUAAAACUCUGUUGUUAGGGAAGAACAAGUACGAGAGUAACUGCUCGUACCUUGACGGUACCUAACCAGAAAGCCACGGCUAACUACGUGCCAGCAGCCGCGGUAAUACGUAGGUGGCAAGCGUUAUCCGGAAUUAUUGGGCGUAAAGCGCGCGCAGGCGGUUUCUUAAGUCUGAUGUGAAAGCCCACGGCUCAACCGUGGAGGGUCAUUGGAAACUGGGGAACUUGAGUGCAGAAGAGAAAAGCGGAAUUCCACGUGUAGCGGUGAAAUGCGUAGAGAUGUGGAGGAACACCAGUGGCGAAGGCGGCUUUUUGGUCUGUAACUG
This 705-nucleotide ribosomal RNA is filed under the name Bacillus sp. FJAT-4616. Its description in RNAcentral is "bacterial SSU rRNA". It matches the Rfam family "Bacterial small subunit ribosomal RNA", at positions 55 to 742 of the family's 1533-position model. Lineage: Bacteria; Bacillati; Bacillota; Bacilli; Caryophanales; Bacillaceae. The record is from RNAcentral.